UGAUCAUGAUUUAGAAAAUGAGGAAACUCAAAUUACUGAUAUGCCAGAAAAACCAACAAGAAGAACCAGAAGACUAUAUCUCGUGUGGAAAGUUCAUUCAGUCGAGCUUUGGCUCAUAUAAUGGGCCAUUCCAUUUAAUACAGCCCCCCCCUGCCUAUUGAGGGGUCCCUUCAUAAUCCCCUUAGGAUAUAAACAUUUUAGAACCCCCCUUGGAUGUGAUUUUUGGAAGUUACCCCAUGGAUAUCUUUAUACCCACUUUAGGAUAUCGUUUUUACCCCCUUGGAUACCACUAUAAAAACACCUAAUUUUUGCUAUUUUUUGGAAAAUUUCUUAAGCUACCCUCUAGGAAAAUUUAAGGUAAAACCCCCUCCCCCCAUAGGAUAUCCAGACCCCUCAAUAGGGGGGGGGGGUGCCUAUAUUAAAUGGAAUGGCCCAUUCAAAGUCCUGGCACAUCAGCAAAGGUAUAAUAAAAACAAUUAUGGUAGACGAAAUUGUACUUAAAACUGUUAUUCUUUGCUAUUCUAUUCUUUAAAUCGUCUUUGUAUAUUCAGUGUAACACCUCUGUGUAACAUUAUUCUGCAGUGUAUAAACAUUAUUCAUGUAUGAUUAUUCAUAUGUCAUCUGUGACUCAAUUUCCAUUUUAGUAAAUGACAUACUUUUUUGUAGUUUCCUAGCAGAAAGAUCAAGCUGACUCCUUCAAAGAAGUCACCAGUGAAAAAACAUAAAUAGACCUUUGAGGAAAAUAAAGUUAUGGAAAAAUUUUGUCCAUAAUAAAUAUAAUAACAACAAUUUACAAUAUCCUAGUAAUCUAUGUCACUGUUAUAAUUGCCUAGAUCCAUAAUAAAAUAAAAUAACAACAAUUUACAAUAUACUUCUUGUGUGUGUUGGUGUUAUGUACUCAGGUGAAUAUGAUGUUUGUGAUGUUACUCUGAGUGUGCAUCCACACCAAGCCGAGCUCAGUUGGUAGAGCAUUGGACUAAUAUCCCAAAGAUCGCAGGUUCGAUUCCCACCGUGGUCAGGCAAACUUUUCAGCUUGCCCGGUGUGCAUGCACACUCAGAAUAACAUUGCAAACAUCAAUUUACAAUAUUCUAGUAAUUUAUGUCACUGUUAUAAUUGUAGGGAUCCAUAAUAAAAUAAAUAUGUAGGGAUCCAUAAUAAAAUAAAAUAAUUUACAAUGGCUCAUUCCAGAAAACAUCCAUACCACCCCCACAGAGGAAAUUGGAAGUUAACCCCCCUACCCCCUUUGAAUGUCCUAAUACAUGUACUAUUAUCAGGAACAAUUUUUUCUUCCCUCCCCCUCCAGACGGCAGAAAUUUCCUCCGUGGGGAGGAGUAUGGAUCUUUUCUGGAACGACCCAAUAUUCUAGUAAUCCAUGUGACUGUUAUAAUUGUUUCUUGGGUCAUCUCUGUCCCAUGGUCCACUUUUCACAAUCAACAAUGCUGUACUGUGGAGUAAUAUCCACCAAGCACACAGAAUUUAUUGGUUGUAGAUCACAGUUACAUCCAGUUUGCCCUUGUAAAUUUAUUGGUUGUAG
Non-coding RNA from Paramuricea clavata, 1535 nucleotides. The record is from the annotation of a GenBank genome assembly. Lineage: Eukaryota; Metazoa; Cnidaria; Anthozoa; Malacalcyonacea; Plexauridae.